CGCCCAAGGCGGCUGGCUCUGAUAAGCUGUACAACGCCCAGAGGGACGCUACAAACACGGAUGUUUACCUGCUGCCCAAGAAGAUGGAUGAGUAUGUGGCCAGCCUACAUCUCCCCACGUUCGACGCACAUCUCACAGAGCUGAGUGACGAGCAGGCCAAGUACCUGGGCUUGAACAAGAACGGGCCCUUCAAGCCAAACUACUAUAGGUAUUAAACCAGUGUCGGCGUUUGACUGAAGAAAUACAAAUACUCCAUGAUUGGCACAGACUCAAAGAGGGGGAGGAGGAGGAAGACAGAAGGAACGACAGUCAACACACCUGCUUUAUGUUAUGGGGGGGGAGGUUGGGGAGGAGCUCUGACUGAGAGGGGGCGGGGCUUAUCUUGCGGUUAUGGCAGCCGUUUUAUUUAUUCACGCUCAACAACAAUAAUGAUAACUCUAAAUCUGUGGAGCUGCUCCUGCCAUUAGCCGUUAGCUAGCUCCGCGACGUCUUCUUCCGGACGAUGUUUUACUUCCUUUUUCACCACAAUUAUCUCUUUCUCUUUAAUCACUCAUUUGUAUGUCGACUUGUAUGUAAAUCCUCCUUCCCAUUGCCAGAUCUUUUAUUGUUUAACUAUUAAAGAUGAAAUUAUUGAUGCUAAAAAGAUAUAUACUAUAUAAAAAGAAAAUUUGAUUUAAGAAAAGAAAUCUGUGUGAAUGAAGGCCGUUGAAGAUUCAGUGACGGACACUUUUUUUCCUGUCUGUUCUUUUCUACCUGUGAUUUAGUUUUUCUCUUGUGUAACAUUGAGAGGGCGGGGUUUAGACCUAGUGGGCGGGGAUUAGGCGGGAUCUCAGGGUCCAAUCAUAUCAUGACUUUUAUUUGAUCAUUCUCAUUGAGAUUCACCGUUGUGUCUGUUUUUAAACAUUUUUUUAUGCGUGUCCGAUCAGCCUGUAGUUGUCAGACCUUUUGUCUUAGUACGACUGGACGGGGUCUUCCCACCUGUCACUCAAAGCCACAGUGAAAACAUCUCAUUGGCUGCUUCUUUCUCGGAUUCCAGCUGCUCACACAGCGACUGUGUUGAAGUAUUUCCAGCUUGUGAGAGAUAAACCUUUUCAUUUAGCCUCUUUCUUUACCAAGAAUGACUAUACUGUAUUAGAAGCAUGGCAGGUUGUCAGACCAUUACAUACUGUAUAUUUAGAUAUUUAUAUUGAAACAUUUUCUAUCCUUUUCUCUCCCGUGCCACCUCAUAUCAUAUGUCGUAAAGAUAAGCAAUUAAGUGUUCUGAUGAUAAGUGUAAUAAAUGUAUUUAAGCCCUCACUUUGAAUACUGUGACAGAAAAUAUUUAAAGAGAAACCAAAUUAGCAGCAAGUUGCUGCCUGGCCGGUACUCAAACAGAUCUUCAAUCAGGUCCUCAAAGAAAAAUAUGUUUGUUUUUUUAUCAUCCACACCACAACUCUUUGGUACUCACCGAAAAAGUUCAUUUUAAAAAGUAAGAUCUGGGAAAUAAUCUCUUUUCAUCCAAGAAGCACAUUUACCCUUGCUGUACGUGCGUUUGCCUGUAAACGAUUAUUUCCCACUUUUCUUUCUUUCUUUUUUUAAGUUCUCAAAACUCGGCUUGCUAGCCUUGAAAUAUUUAAUUUCUUUUUCCCCUCCUGAAAGACUUAGAUUCUCUCCAGCUGACCUGACGGUGCAAAUUAGAAAGUCCUGACAGUCAAGUGUACCCCGCCCGCCGCAAUACUGGCUCUGCACCUGAACCCAUCAGGUCCUCUGCUAACCUGCUGAGAGACGCUGCCACCAUUACUCUCACAGAGAGGGAUCACAUGCUUAAACACACAUACAGUAGCUCAUUAUCCAGGUCUUUGAUCAUCUUACACAUUUUGAAUAAGAGGAAAUAGCACAAAGGUUUUUUAUUUACCAGUUUAGCUCAUUCAGACUAAGAAUAUGCACAAUUAAUAAAAUGUAAUUGCUGUGUAACAAUGACUAGUAUCUUUACAAACUAUUUAACAUCAACCAAAGUCUUUAAAGGACUAUUUUGGCAAUUUUUAAAAAUAUUUGUAUUUGCUUUUGUGCAGAGUUGAGAAAAUGUAUAGCGCUCAUGUUACUGUAGCCAGCAGCUACUUAGCUAAUGUUAACAUGAAGGUUAAAAAGCAAAAAUGUCCGACUACAAGCGCCUCUGAAAGUUACGUUUUCAUAAAAUAAAAUAAACAUAAGUGUGUGAGCUUUCAAGGUGCUUGUAUCUAGAUUGUUAACUUUGGACAAAGCCACGCUAGCUGUUUUCCAUCAUUUCCCAUCUUCGGCUAGCCACAGCUACAAUGUUGGCAUACAGAUAAGGGUAGGAUUGAUCUUAUUAUGCAAGUCUCAACAAGAAAGUCAAUAACAGUAUUUCCCAAAUGUCAAGCUAUUCCUAAUUAAUUUGGCAAAAGCAAAAUAACGUAUAUAAAAAAGAUAUACAUUUAUAGGCACGUAGUAACGUACGCCCCAAGAUCCUACACUGUCACAGCAGACAACCUCAUUAUCACAAAGUCUGUGCAUUAAUGUCUCCUUGUGCAGUUGAGAAUCCCUUCUUAUAGUAGUGCGACCUGUGCUCUUAAACCUGUUGUCUUACUUUUCCUUUUUGAAUGUGUGUUUAAGAGUAUAACAUCUGGAGAGAAAGCUGAGGUGAUUAUAGAUGAUGACGUGUGUGUCUUAAUGUCUUUCUGUAUUUGAACAAUUUUUUUUUUUUUUUGUCGUCCACAAUUGCUUUUCGUUAACAGCUGCCUCAGGAUCCUAGCCUGUGCGUUAUGGGGAGAAAGCUUUUGUUUUGUUUUGUCGUACGGGUGGGCGGGGGAAGACACCAGCAUCGUAUCUGUAUAUAAACACUAUAUACAGAUAUGACAACCUUUAAAAGUAUAGGAAGGUAAAAGAAGAAUCCACUCCUGUAUUUAUUGUUGUAAAUCCUAAUACAGUGCAAACUGGCAAAUUCUCAAACAUGUUUUAAGUUGUUGAAUAAAU
Molecule: long non-coding RNA, 2970 nt
Organism: Notothenia coriiceps (black rockcod)
Lineage: Eukaryota; Metazoa; Chordata; Actinopteri; Perciformes; Nototheniidae
Exons: 3
Source: RefSeq, a predicted model, not a curated record